GGGAGUGUUUAUUGGCUUCGACAGUUAAUUAAAAGGACACUGACUACAAUAGGGUAAGCCCUUUAUAGCUAAAAAUAAACGCAAAGAAAAAAGAGCGUGCUUCAUUAGUGAAUCUACUAAUGAGCAACUCUCAGCAAUUAGCUUUAACUCUUUAGUUUAACUAGUAGCUGAGGGGGUGUCGAAGGGGUUUAAGUUGUAGAGGUUAUUGUUAGUUCUUAGAAACUAACUAAGUUGUAAACGUCUUUGUUACUGGUUAAUUGGAUGGGGGUUCGAAUCCCCUCACUUCCACCA
RNAcentral lists this transfer-messenger RNA (291 nucleotides) under Candidatus Mycoplasma haematobovis. Its description in RNAcentral is "Candidatus Mycoplasma haemobos transfer-messenger RNA". It matches the Rfam family "transfer-messenger RNA". From Rfam's summary of the family: Bacterial tmRNA, also known as 10Sa RNA or SsrA, is named for its dual tRNA and mRNA-like properties. Its role is to liberate the mRNA from a stalled ribosome. The record is from Rfam by way of RNAcentral. RNAcentral also lists the same sequence under 1 other name. Lineage: Bacteria; Bacillati; Mycoplasmatota; Mollicutes; Mycoplasmatales; Mycoplasmataceae.